CGCUAGAUAAAGGGAUAUAUUACUACAAAAUCUUGCCUUAGAUUUCAGCAAGUAGCCACAAUUAACAAAAAUACAAUGUUCCAAUCGUUCCAUGUAUUUAUAUAACAAAUCAGCUUUGGACAUAUCCAAGGACCUCCCUUUUCUCCAUCAGAUAGCUAGCUAGGUCCAGACAAAUUUUUCUUUGCCACAAGCCAGAAAAUUGUUAAUGCUUGUUCAACAAAUAAUAAAUAUCUUAAUGCUGGGGACUAUUUUCUUC
This 256-nucleotide unclassified non-coding RNA is filed under the name Hevea brasiliensis (rubber tree). The record is from RNAcentral. Lineage: Eukaryota; Viridiplantae; Streptophyta; Magnoliopsida; Malpighiales; Euphorbiaceae.